UCGGGAAUUUUGGGCAAUGGGGGAAACCCUGACCCAGCAACGCCGCGUGAAGGAUGAAGUAUUUCGGUAUGUAAACUUCGAAAGAAUAGGAAGAAUAAAUGACGGUACUAUUUAUAAGGUCCGGCUAACUACGUGCCAGCAGCCGCGGUAAUACGUAGGGACCAAGCGUUGUUCGGAUUUACUGGGCGUAAAGGGCGCGUAGGCGGCAUGACAAGUCACUUGUGAAAUCUCUGGGCUUAACCCAGAACGGCCAAGUGAUACUGUCGCGCUAGAGUGCAGAAGGGGCAAUCGGAAUUCUUGGUGUAGCGGUGAAAUGCGUAGAUAUCAAGAGGAACACCUGAGGUGAAGACGGGUUGCUGGGCUGACACUGACGCUGAGGCGCGAAAGCCAGGGGAGCAAACGGGAUUAGAUACCCUCGUAGUCCCUGAG
This 429-nucleotide ribosomal RNA is filed under the name uncultured bacterium. RNAcentral describes it as "bacterial SSU rRNA". It matches the Rfam family "Bacterial small subunit ribosomal RNA", at positions 355 to 801 of the family's 1533-position model. The record is from RNAcentral.